This 946-nucleotide ribosomal RNA is filed under the name Escherichia coli. RNAcentral's name for it is "partial 23S ribosomal RNA". It matches the Rfam family "Bacterial large subunit ribosomal RNA", at positions 614 to 1564 of the family's 2925-position model. The record is from RNAcentral. Lineage: Bacteria; Pseudomonadati; Pseudomonadota; Gammaproteobacteria; Enterobacterales; Enterobacteriaceae.
AAUGGGUCAGCGACUUAUAUUCUGUAGCAAGGUUAACCGAAUAGGGGAGCCGAAGGGAAACCGAGUCUUAACUGGGCGUUAAGUUGCAGGGUAUAGACCCGAAACCCGGUGAUCUAGCCAUGGGCAGGUUGAAGGUUGGGUAACACUAACUGGAGGACCGAACCGACUAAUGUUGAAAAAUUAGCGGAUGACUUGUGGCUGGGGGUGAAAGGCCAAUCAAACCGGGAGAUAGCUGGUUCUCCCCGAAAGCUAUUUAGGUAGCGCCUCGUGAAUUCAUCUCCGGGGGUAGAGCACUGUUUCGGCAAGGGGGUCAUCCCGACUUACCAACCCGAUGCAAACUGCGAAUACCGGAGAAUGUUAUCACGGGAGACACACGGCGGGUGCUAACGUCCGUCGUGAAGAGGGAAACAACCCAGACCGCCAGCUAAGGUCCCAAAGUCAUGGUUAAGUGGGAAACGAUGUGGGAAGGCCCAGACAGCCAGGAUGUUGGCUUAGAAGCAGCCAUCAUUUAAAGAAAGCGUAAUAGCUCACUGGUCGAGUCGGCCUGCGCGGAAGAUGUAACGGGGCUAAACCAUGCACCGAAGCUGCGGCAGCGACACUAUGUGUUGUUGGGUAGGGGAGCGUUCUGUAAGCCUGUGAAGGUGUACUGUGAGGUAUGCUGGAGGUAUCAGAAGUGCGAAUGCUGACAUAAGUAACGAUAAAGCGGGUGAAAAGCCCGCUCGCCGGAAGACCAAGGGUUCCUGUCCAACGUUAAUCGGGGCAGGGUGAGUCGACCCCUAAGGCGAGGCCGAAAGGCGUAGUCGAUGGGAAACAGGUUAAUAUUCCUGUACUUGGUGUUACUGCGAAGGGGGGACGGAGAAGGCUAUGUUGGCCGGGCGACGGUUGUCCCGGUUUAAGCGUGUAGGCUGAUUUUCCAGGCAAAUCCGGAAAAUCAAGGCUGAGGCGU